GUCAAAGCAGUGGCACGUACUUGAAAGACUGAGGGAAAUUAGCCAGUCUUCAAUGAUGGGCAAGAAGCACCUGGUCAAUGGGCUGGGACCUUCUUGGGGACUCAGGUGUGGGCAGUUUGCUCGCGGUUAAAGGAAGAGCUGUGCACCUCCUGCCAGCUCUUGGUGUUUCCUGUCAAUGAUGUUAGUGCCACAGUGCUGCUUUAGAAGACUACUGCUCAUGGGGAAAGAUCUGACAAAGUCAGAUGAGCCUGAAGUUCUCAGGGAUUCGUUUUCCUGCACAUGGACUCCACCCAAAAGUGUACAGGGAAGUGGCCUUUGAGAUUGAAGUGCUAGUGGGAUGGCAAAAGAAGCUGCAAGAGAAAACAGGCUCCUAGGAGGUGUUCAGAGCCAAAGGAAUUGGGAGUAAAAAUUUGCACCUUUUAA
Non-coding RNA from Meleagris gallopavo (turkey), 423 nucleotides. NCBI's taxonomy places the organism in Eukaryota, Metazoa, Chordata, Aves, Galliformes, Phasianidae. The record is from RefSeq and is a predicted model, not a curated record.